UCCAGAAAUGAUGAUGCUGUUAAAGCACUAUCUUCAAUAGCACCAUCUGAAACACCAGCAGGGACAGGACCUAGAAACAAAAUGGAGUGUAAUCAGUAGAGGUGAUUAUCUAAAUUAUGGAAACCUAUGAAAUAACAUUCUCAAAUGAAAUGGAAGUGACCAGAAUACAUCUGUCAAAUGAGGUGAUAAUAUUUGUAAUAGCAGAAAACCUGAAGAAGAAUAAUUAUGCAGUUCUCUGUACACUUGUUUACUGUAAACAAGAGGUGAAAGUUGAUUCUCAGCAAUGUUAUCAAGAUAUGCAGACUAAACAUAUCCCUCCACAUGUCCAUCUAGGGAUCAAUAAGCGAAAUAUGACAAAGAGGUCCAUUUUCUUGUCCAAUUUUUUUAAAACACCAUCCCAUUACCACCACAUGCUACACUAAUGGCCCAAAACCAUCUCUUUCAUGGUACUUUACAAAAAAGACUUUAAAUUACACUAAAUAGGUCAGUCUUCAGAACUGGGAAUAUUGGUUAUCAAAAUAGCACGUCAUUCAGCUGAGUAUAAGGAACUGGUCAUUUAUUAUAGGUGCAAAUGGAGUCAUUCCAUUUUCCUCUCUGCAAAAGAAAACAGCCCUGAAGGGACCAACAACAAGCUACUCUUUAAGGACCACAUUACUUUAUCCAGUGCCAAGAACAUUGCCUCUGGAAAUUAGAUACAAGUGAAAAAAUGAAAAUGUACCAGCCCCUCCUCCCCUCCUUAACAUAAAUGACCAAUCCCUAAUUUUGGAAAGGUGUCAAGCUGAUGACUUCAAUGCCUACAGUGAGCAGAAGUGACACUACCAGAUUCAAAAUCAUUCAGUUAUCCAAAGUGAUCAACAAUUUUUGUAAUGUCUCUCUGUUAUACUGACACUAAAAAUAUAAUGAGUCAUUGUUGGUUUUUAACACUAAACAAGACUUUCUUUAGAGAUGAAAAAAAAGUUUGUUGUGUCUUUUUUCAUCAUAGAGAGGAAACUUGCAUAUGGGCAAGGUUUAACUUAACUCCAAUUCCAUAUAGUUUUAGAACACAAUGUGAUAAUAAAUGCUCAGGCUCAAUGUGUAAUGACAAUAACGAUUCAAUUGGGAAGAUUAUGAAAAUUUUAGUAUCUCUAUACCACUGCUUCACAAAGUUUAGUGUUAAGAUACAACAAAUCUCUUCUCAUCUCCUGAUUUCAAAUAUUGAAAAAGAAUAUGUUAAUUAGGGUUGUAGGUAUCGUUGUUUAAAGACUAACAUAUACUGAAGUAUUCCAGUACCAUUCUCCCUACAAUAUAUUGAUUAAGAGAUAUCCAGGAUCUUAAUUACACUAUGGGAUUUCCUGGAGCACAAUGAGCUGUUUCUCUAAGUGGAUUUACAAACUUUGCAUGACAUUUUAAAUGGUACUUUUCAUGUCAGUCAAUUUUCACAACCACAUUUCUAUUUUUUCCCUCACUAGUCUAAUUUCCUGGUUCAAUAAGUGGACGUAACCUUAUAAUACAGUAAUAAAUCGCCCUAUAUCUAAAGGACUUCAGUACAUUCCGUGUGAUUAUCUCUUGACAAUGGCCAAAAUAAAAAGCUGCGAACAAGUUA
This 1582-nucleotide long non-coding RNA is filed under the name Pocillopora damicornis (cauliflower coral). RNAcentral describes it as "uncharacterized LOC113672200". Lineage: Eukaryota; Metazoa; Cnidaria; Anthozoa; Scleractinia; Pocilloporidae. The record is from RNAcentral.